RNAcentral lists this ribosomal RNA (774 nucleotides) under uncultured Neocallimastigales. Its description in RNAcentral is "partial large subunit ribosomal RNA". It matches the Rfam family "Eukaryotic large subunit ribosomal RNA", at positions 24 to 635 of the family's 3401-position model. Lineage: Eukaryota; Fungi; Neocallimastigomycota; Neocallimastigomycetes; Neocallimastigales. The record is from RNAcentral.
UAUCUCUGUAGAGUCUGCAUAUCAAUAAGCGGAGGAAAAGAAACUAACUAGGAUUCCCUCAGUAACGGCGAGUGAAGCGGGAAGAGCUCAAAUUUGAAAUCUUCAAGGUUCUACCUUGACGAAUUGUAGUUUAAAGAAGUGUUUUCUGUUGGAGUUUUGGUAAAAGUUCUUUGGAAUAGGACAUCAUAGAGGGUGAGAAUCCCGUAUUUGACCAUUAUUUCCAGCUUUGUGAUACACUUUCAAAGAGUCGGAUUGUUUGGGAAUGCAGUCCAAAAUGGGUGGUAAAUUUCAUCUAAAGCUAAAUACUGGCGAGAGGCCGAUAGCGAACAAGUACCGUGAGGGAAAGAUGAAAAGAACUUUGAAAAGAGAGUUAAACAGUACGUGAAAUUGUCAAAAGGGAAGCGUUUGACACCAGUGUUGUUUUCUCGAAAAUCAAUUAAAAAAGGCAGGAUUUUGUGUUGUAUUGACUUUAUCAGCUUUCUGCACUCUUUUCUUGUCUUUUUUUAAUGCACUUUUCGUUUAACAAGUCAACAUCAAUUUCUUUUGUUGUAAAAGAGUCAUUGGAAGGUGGCUUUCACUUCGGUGAAAGUGUUUAUAGCCUUUGGCUUCUGCAAUCGGAGAGAUUGAGGUCUGCAGCGUAGAUCCUUCGGGGCUAGAUACAUUUGUGCUAAGUUAUAGCCUUUCAUAGACAACUUGUUGACUAUGAUCAGUCAUGUAGCUUACUCGCUUAUGCUAUUUUACCUACGCUUAGGAUGUUGAAAUGUAGCACAUCAU